RNAcentral lists this ribosomal RNA (510 nucleotides) under uncultured bacterium. RNAcentral's name for it is "partial 16S ribosomal RNA". It matches the Rfam family "Bacterial small subunit ribosomal RNA", at positions 28 to 507 of the family's 1533-position model. The record is from RNAcentral.
GACGAACGCUGGCGGCGUGCUUAACACAUGCAAGUCGAACGAAGAGCGAUGGAAGCUUGCUUCUACCAAUCUUAGUGGCGAACGGGUGAGUAACGCGUAAUCAACCUGCCCUUCAGAGGGGGACAACAGUUGGAAACGACUGCUAAUACCGCAUACGAUCCAAUCUCGGCAUCGGGACUGGAUGAAAGGUGGCCUCUAUUUAUAAGCUAUCACUGAAGGAGGGGAUUGCGUCUGAUUAGCUAGUUGGAGGGGUAACGGCCCACCAAGGCGAUGAUCAGUAGCCGGUCUGAGAGGAUGAACGGCCACAUUGGGACUGAGACACGGCCCAGACUCCUACGGGAGGCAGCAGUGGGGAAUCUUCCGCAAUGGACGAAAGUCUGACGGAGCAACGCCGCGUGAGUGAUGACGGCCUUCGGGUUGUAAAGCUCUGUUAAUCGGGACGAAUGGUUCUUGUGCGAAUAGUGCGAGGAUUUGACGGUACCGGAAUAGAAAGCCACGGCUAACUACGUG